Long non-coding RNA from Mustela lutreola (European mink), 515 nucleotides. RefSeq lists it as uncharacterized. Lineage: Eukaryota; Metazoa; Chordata; Mammalia; Carnivora; Mustelidae. The transcript is spliced from 3 exons. The record is from RefSeq and is a predicted model, not a curated record.
CCUGGCGCUACACCCACAAAGCCAUCUGGAAUUCAGGGAGAACUCCCUCUCCAUCUCCCCUCGUGUCUCUUCUCCCUCCAUGUUGGCUUCACCCUUCUCCUUCUGCAGAUGGGCUCUCUCCACUGCCCUGGUGCCUGUGACAAAAGCUUGCUGCUCACAGAGCUCACCCGCAGGUUCGUACGCAACAGUCCGAGCAUUGCCCGGACGGGCUUCCAUCUUUCAGUCCUAAUUCCAAACUCCUGGGAGGAAGAAUCCAGCCCAGCUUGGGCUAAGGUCUGCUGUGGUCUGUGACACAGGGAGCAACGUCCAGGAAACGUGCGUCAUGGAGCAUUAGUGGGGAUUGCCACAGGGUUGACUCCUCUUCUCUAUCAAGUUCAAUUUAAUGUCACCCGUCCAAGGCGCCAGCCCUGAGCCCUCUUUCUAAACUGGACGUGUCUUACUUCAUUGAAUCUUCACAAGAACCCAAUAGGAUCAGUGCGGCUUUUGCCCCCAUUUUACAGAUAAAGAAACUGAAG